AUUCUUAGUGAGGUAAUUCAUGUGACUGGGUUGGAGGCUGUGCACCCAGGAACCUGUAUAACUAAUAAUUCGAUUUGCACUUGCCUGACUUCUCUCAUCUCCGAAGAUCAGGGACAUUUCAGAGACCUUCAAGCUAGCGGCUAAUUCC
Molecule: non-coding RNA, 148 nt
Organism: Pimephales promelas (fathead minnow)
Lineage: Eukaryota; Metazoa; Chordata; Actinopteri; Cypriniformes; Leuciscidae
Source: RefSeq, a predicted model, not a curated record